GAGCGAGUUGACGCCGGCGACGAGGCGGGAGCUUAUUAUGGUAGGGUCCUAAAUGCUUCAACUGAUGAGCUCUAUUAUCAGUGUCGGCUGUAUAGCGAGGUACAAGGCGAACGCGAGCGGUGGCGUAGGCGGCAGGUCCAACGAGGUUCCCACAGUGCACUUUCUGGUACCCAGUGGGUUGGGGUGAAUGUGAUGGCGUCGUCUUGAUGAGAACAGGGGCUGUCAUGGGCGCGUGUCUCCACUGACAUCAGAGGCGAAAUGCUGCGUCAGCGACGUGCUUCGAGUGCAAGCACGGAACUCCUCGUUACUUGGUCUAUAUCUGUUCUGUCACUAUUGCAUAGGGAAAGAAGGUAGGAGAGAUACUCAAGAUCGUCUGAUCGGGGACCUCCUGGUAGAUACCAAUAAUCUCCCGCGGCGCACCACUUUGGUGAUUGGUGGCCGAACGUUGUGUCAACGGUGGCUGUCAGCCUCUCCGUUUGAUCUAAUGUGGUGCCGUGAUGGGGAGGAUUCUCGUUUUAUGGAGUUCCGUGCGCUGAUGCUGGUCCAAUGUUGGCGGAGCGCGAUGCAGACGCCGCAGAGGUUGAGACGUGUAAGUGAAGGCUGGCACCAGCUCGCCGACUGGUGCCUGUGGUGGCAGAUGGUUUGUUUCUUUCAUGGAAAACACGGAUGGAGAACCCGACGGGAUCAGACCAGCAUGGCGUAGGAUGCGUAGCCGUGACUGUGACAAUCCUUUGGCGCGUGGGUGGCCGGAAUUGCUGGCGAUGAGCUGAUAUUGAAUUCAUCACGUGGUGGAUUGGACGAUUGUUCCUUGUUGUUGGUCAGCUUCUAGAUGUAGGGAUGACCGAGGCGACAUGCUUAAUCGAAGCUGCGUGGUAUGCGCUCAAGCAGUUGGUUUCCCCGCCGCCUUACAAUGCACCUGACCAAAGGAUGUUGCGACGAACCAUAGGAUAAUACGAACAUUUUGUGAACAGUGGAAACGUGGUUUUGGAGCGUGAUCAGCUGCGAUACUCUGCUCAUGAUGAUGGUGUCACCAGGUGCACCCCGCUGGCGCCCGUGGCUGCGUCCCAUGAUACGUGUACAAUGGUAUGAGGGUGCGAGUUCGGACGCUGCGGGGAGGGGGUGUAUGCAGGCGGUGGCAGCAAACGCUUCGCCAGAAGUUGCGUGUUUUGCGGCGGCCGCAGCUUCUCGGGUCGAACAUGAACGCAGGUUCUGAAAGAGAUGUGAGCAGCAUGGGGCUUGACGAAUGGCGGUCAUUUUGA
RNAcentral lists this long non-coding RNA (1259 nucleotides) under Toxoplasma gondii VEG. Lineage: Eukaryota; Apicomplexa; Conoidasida; Eucoccidiorida; Sarcocystidae. The record is from RNAcentral.